RNAcentral lists this unclassified non-coding RNA (196 nucleotides) under uncultured fungus. RNAcentral describes it as "sequence contains ITS1". Lineage: Eukaryota; Fungi. The record is from RNAcentral.
AUCAAUUAUGUUUAUCAAAGUAUCAUGAUAAGUGUAUACUUGCGUAUAUGAUUUGCACCCAGUUGACACUGGAGCAUGUAUGGUAGAUUUUCGGGGAUGUGGGGGAUAUAUGGUCACAUGACAUGACAUGAUAUCCCCCACAUACCCGAUAAGCUUACGUUGCAUAAUGAUCCUUCCGCAGGUUCACCUACGGAAA